UUUUGGUCAAGCAAGUAAGGGCAAACGGCGAAUGCCUUGGCGCUAGGAGGCGAUGAAGGACGUGGCUAGCUGCGAUAUGCCUCGGGGAGCUGCUAAGCGAGCUUUGAUCCGGGGAUUUCCGAAUGGGGAAACCCAUCCAGGGUCAUGCCUGGAUAUCCCUCGCUGAAUUCAUAGGCGUGGGAGGCGAACCCGGGGAACUGACACAUCUCAGUACCCGGAGGAAGAGAAAUCAACCGAGAUUCCCUUAGUAGCGGCGAGCGAAAGGGGAACAGCCUAAACCGAUGGGAAGCAAUUCCCAUCGGGGUCGUGGGACCUUAACGUGAGACCCGGAGGGGUAGUCGAACGGCCUGGAAAGGCCGGCCAUAGAGGGUGAUAGCCCCGUAGGCGAAACUUCAAAGGGCUCUAGAGGACUCCCGAGUAGCGCCGGACACGUGGAACCCGGCGUGAAUCUGGGUGGACCAUCAUCCAAGGCUAAAUACUACCUAGCGACCGAUAGUGAACCAGUACCGUGAGGGAAAGGUGAAAAGAACCCCGGUGAGGGGAGUGAAAUAGACCCUGAAACCGUUUGCCUACAAACAGUGGGAGCCCUAUGGCGCCUUCGGGCGCAAUGGGUGACCGCGUACCUUUUGCAUAAUGAGUCCGCGAGUUACUCUCGAUAGCAAGGUUAAGCCGUUAGGUGUAGCCGUAGCGAAAGCGAGUCCGAAUAGGGCGCUUAGUUACCGGGAGUAGACCCGAAGCCGAGUGAUCUACCCAUGGCCAGGGUGAAGCUACGGUAAGACGUAGUGGAGGCCCGAACCGUAGAAGGUUGAAAACUUCCCGGAUGAGCUGUGGGUAGGGGUGAAAGGCCAAUCAAACUCGGAGAUAUCUGGUUCUCCCCGAAAUAUAUUUAGGUAUAGCGUCGUAUGAUCUCCACCGGAGGUAGAGCACUGAUUGGGCUAGGGGUCCUACCAGAUUACCGAACCCACUCAAACUCCGAAUGCCGGUGAGAGCAGUGCGGCAGUCAGACUGCGGGGGAUAAGCUCCGUGGUCGAGAGGGAAACAGCCCAGACCGCCGGCUAAGGUCCCCAAGUACACGCUGAGUGGGAAAGGAUGUGAGACCGCUCAGACAACCAGGAGGUUGGCUUAGAAGCAGCCAUCCUUUAAAAAGUGCGUAACAGCUUACUGGUCAAGUAGUCCUGCGCCGAAAAUGUAACGGGGCUAAGCGUGUCACCGAAGCCGCGGAGCGAAGCAACCCUCGGGUUACUUCGUUGGUAGGGGAGCGUUCCAGUUGCCUGUGAAGGUCGACCGUAAGGACGGCUGGAGGUCCUGGAAGUGCAUAUGCGGACAUGAGUAGCGAUAAAGCAGGUGAGAAACCUGCUCGCCGUAAACCUAAGGUUUCCUGGGUAAAGCUAAUCUGCCCAGGGUUAGUCGGCCCCUAAGCCGAGGCCGAAAGGCGUAGGUGAUGGGAAACGGGUUAAUAAUUCCCGUACCACUAACAUGACGUUUGACCGAAGGGGGGACGGAGAAGGGUAGUCGAGCCGGAGAUUGGAAGUUCCGGUUCAAGCCAGUAGGCGGGGGGAGUAGGCAAAUCCGCUCCCUCAUUCCAAACGUCGAGAGGCGAUGUCGAGAGCUUCGGCUCAUAAAGUCGGCGAUCCCACGCUUCCAAGAAAAGCCUCGUAGGGAGUCAUGUUGGUGACCGUACCGUAAACCGACACAGGUAGGUGGGGAGAGAAUCCCAAGGCGCUUGAGAGAACUCUGGUUAAGGAACUCGGCAAAUUGGCACCGUAACUUCGGGAGAAGGUGCGCCCUGGCUGGUGAAAGGACUUGCUCCUGGAGCUGGCUGGGGUUGCAGUGACCUGGGGGUAGCGACUGUUUACUAAAAACACAGGACUCUGCGAACUCUUAAGAGGACGUAUAGGGUCUGACGCCUGCCCGGUGCCGGAAGGUUAAGGGGAUCUGUCAGCUCCUUCGGGGGCGAAGCGGUGAACUGAAGCCCCGGUAAACGGCGGCCGUAACUAUAACGGUCCUAAGGUAGCGAAAUUCCUUGUCGGGUAAGUUCCGACCUGCACGAAUGGUGUAACGAUCUGGACACUGUCUCAGCCAUGAGCUCGGUGAAAUUGUAGUAACGGUGAAGAUGCCGUUUACCCGCUGUGGGACGAAAAGACCCCGUGAACCUUUACUAUAGCUUAGUAUUGACUUUGGAUAAGUAAUGUGUAGGAUAGGUGGGAGACUUUGAAGUGGCGUCGCCAGGCGUUGUGGAGUCACUGUUGAAAUACCACCCUUUACUUAUCUGAAGCCUAAUCCCGCCUCAGGCGGGAGACAGUGCUUGGUGGGUAGUUUGACUGGGGUGGUCGCCUCCAAAAGAGUAACGGAGGCUUCUAAAGGUUCCCUCAAUACGGUUGGCAAUCGUGUGUAGAGUGCAAUGGCAUAAGGGAGCUUGACUGAGAGACCUACAAGUCGAUCAGGUACGAAAGUAGAGCAUAGUGAUCCGGUGGUUCCGCAUGGAAGGGCCAUCGCUCAAAGGAUAAAAGGUACUCCGGGGAUAACAGGCUGAUCUCCCCCAAGAGCUCACAUCGACGGGGGGGUUUGGCACCUCGAUGUCGGCUCGUCACAUCCUGGGGCUGGAGAAGGUCCCAAGGGUUGGGCUGUUCGCCCAUUAAAGUGGCACGCGAGCUGGGUUCAGAACGUCGUGAGACAGUUCGGUCUCUAUCUACUGUGGGCGUUAGAAAUUUGAGUGAAUCUGACUCUAGUACGAGAGGACCGAGUUGGACUAACCUCUGGUGUACCAGUUGUUCCGCCAGGAGCAUUGCUGGGUAGCUACGUUGGGAAGGGAUAAGCGCUGAAAGCAUAUAAGCGCGAAACCCACCACAAGAUGAGAUUUCUUUAAAGGGUCGUGGGAGAUUACCACGUUGAUAGGCUAUAGGUGUAAAUGCAGUAAUGCAGGUAGCCGAGUAGUACUAAUAACCCAUAGGCUUAUUGUC
This 2960-nucleotide ribosomal RNA is filed under the name Deltaproteobacteria bacterium. RNAcentral's name for it is "23S ribosomal RNA". It matches the Rfam family "Bacterial large subunit ribosomal RNA". The record is from RNAcentral. Lineage: Bacteria; Pseudomonadati; Myxococcota; Myxococcia.